Trichomycterus rosablanca is the source of this 281-nucleotide long non-coding RNA. RefSeq lists it as uncharacterized. The transcript is spliced from 3 exons. The record is from RefSeq and is a predicted model, not a curated record. Lineage: Eukaryota; Metazoa; Chordata; Actinopteri; Siluriformes; Trichomycteridae.
GUGUUUUCGGCUUCGACCAAUGAGCUCCAGCUUCCCCUGCAUUUUCAUUGGUCGAAGAGAGUGAACCGUUGUGAAGACAAAUGGACAAUCAACGACCUCAGUGUUCAAGAAAAAGCCACAUACAAUGACAGCGUUCCCCUCCCCCCACCAGAAUCCAGCAAGGAAGCAAGUAGUGUUAGAACACCAAGCAGUAAGGCUAAUGCAGACUUUACCACCUAUGGUUAAGACAGCUGGUUCGCCCUCUCUUUGUCCAAGAACAUUCUUUCAAUGGCUCACAGGAC